Molecule: microRNA precursor, 84 nt
Filed under: Bombyx mori (domestic silkworm)
Lineage: Eukaryota; Metazoa; Arthropoda; Insecta; Lepidoptera; Bombycidae
Description: mir-2807 microRNA precursor family
Rfam family: mir-2807 microRNA precursor family
Source: Rfam by way of RNAcentral
CUAAUAUUGGUAUUGUAUGGAGUUGAACGUUUGCCUACGUUUGCCGCUAGGGGCGCUGUUCCAACUGCAUACAAAUUUGAGUUA